GACGAACGCUGGCGGCGUGCCUAAUACAUGCAAGUCGAGCGAGCGGAACUAACAGAUUUACCUCGGUAAUGACGUUAGGAAAGCGAGCGGCGGAUGGGUGAGUAACACGUGGGGAACCUGCCCCAUAGUCUGGGAUACCACUUGGAAACAGGUGCUAAUACCGGAUAAGAAAGCAGAUCGCAUGAUCAGCUUUUAAAAGGUGGCGUAAGCUGUCGCUAUGGGAUGGCCCCGCGGUGCAUUAGCUAGUUGGUAAGGUAAAGGCUUACCAAGGCGAUGAUGCAUAGCCGAGUUGAGAGACUGAUCGGCCACAAUGGGACUGAGACACGGCCCAUACUCCUACGGGAGGCAGCAGUAGGGAAUCUUCCACAAUGGGCGCAAGCCUGAUGGAGCAACGCCGCGUGCGUGAAGAAGGUCUUCGGAUCGUAAAGCGC
This 431-nucleotide ribosomal RNA is filed under the name uncultured Lactobacillus sp. Its description in RNAcentral is "bacterial SSU rRNA". It matches the Rfam family "Bacterial small subunit ribosomal RNA", at positions 28 to 433 of the family's 1533-position model. The record is from RNAcentral. Lineage: Bacteria; Bacillati; Bacillota; Bacilli; Lactobacillales; Lactobacillaceae.